This 1110-nucleotide ribosomal RNA is filed under the name Burkholderia sp. SD2299. RNAcentral's name for it is "bacterial SSU rRNA". It matches the Rfam family "Bacterial small subunit ribosomal RNA", at positions 96 to 1205 of the family's 1533-position model. Lineage: Bacteria; Pseudomonadati; Pseudomonadota; Betaproteobacteria; Burkholderiales; Burkholderiaceae. The record is from RNAcentral.
UGGCGAACGGGUGAGUAAUACAUCGGAACGUGUCCUGUAGUGGGGGAUAGCCCGGCGAAAGCCGGAUUAAUACCGCAUACGACCUAAGGGAGAAAGCGGGGGAUCUUCGGACCUCGCGCUAUAGGGGCGGCCGAUGGCAGAUUAGCUAGUUGGUGGGGUAAAGGCCUACCAAGGCGACGAUCUGUAGCUGGUCUGAGAGGACGACCAGCCACACUGGGACUGAGACACGGCCCAGACUCCUACGGGAGGCAGCAGUGGGGAGUUUUGGACAAUGGGCGCAAGCCUGAUCCAGCAAUGCCGCGUGUGUGAAGAAGGCCUUCGGGUUGUAAAGCACUUUUGUCCGGAAAGAAAACCUCGUGGCUAAUAUCCGUGAGGGAUGACGGUACCGGAAGAAUAAGCACCGGCUAACUACGUGCCAGCAGCCGCGGUAAUACGUAGGGUGCGAGCGUUAAUCGGAAUUACUGGGCGUAAAGCGUGCGCAGGCGGUUUGUUAAGACCGAUGUGAAAUCCCCGGGCUCAACCUGGGAACUGCAUUGGUGACUGGCAGGCUUUGAGUAUGGCAGAGGGGGGUAGAAUUCCACGUGUAGCAGUGAAAUGCNUAGAGAUGUGGAGGAAUACCNAUGGCGAAGGCAGUCCCCUGGGCCAAUACUGACGCUCAUGCACGAAAGCGUGGGGGAGCAAACAGGAUUAGAUACCCUGGUAGUCCACGCCCUAAACGAUGUCAACUAGUUGUUGGGGAUUCAUUUCCUUAGUAACGUAGCUAACGCGUGAAGUUGACCGCCUGGGGAGUACGGUCGCAAGAUUAAAACUCAAAGGAAUUGACGGGGACCCGCACAAGCGGUGGAUGAUGUGGAUUAAUUCGAUGCAACGCGAAAAACCUUACCUACCCUUGACAUGGGUCGGAACCCUGCUGAAAGGUGGGGGUGCUCGAAAGAGAACCGGCGCACAGGUGCUGCAUGGCUGUCGUCAGCUCGUGUCGUGAGAUGUUGGGUUAAGUCCCGCAACGAGCGCAACCCUUGUCCUUAGUUGCUACGCAAGAGCACGCUAAGGAGACUGCCGGUGACAAACUGGAGGAAGGUGGGGAUGACGUCAAGUCCUCAUGGCCCUUAU